CCUACGGGAGGCAGCAGUGGGGAAUUUUGGACAAUGGGCGAAAGCCUGAUCCAGCCAUGCCGCGUGUGUGAAGAAGGCCUUCGGGUUGUAAAGCACUUUCGGACGGAACGAAAUCGCGCGGGUGAACAUCCCGCGUGGAUGACGGUACCGUAAGAAGAAGCACCGGCUAACUACGUGCCAGCAGCCGCGGUAAUACGUAGGGUGCGAGCGUUAAUCGGAAUUACUGGGCGUAAAGCGUGCGUAGGUGGUGGUUUAAGUCCGUUGUGAAAGCCCUGGGCUCAACCUGGGAAUUGCAGUGGAUACUGGAUCACUAGAGUGUGGUAGAGGGAUGCGGAAUUUCCGGUGUAGCAGUGAAAUGCGUAGAGAUCGGAAGGAACAUCUGUGGCGAAGGCGGCAUCCUGGGCCAACACUGACACUGAGGCACGAAAGCGUGGGGAGCAAACAGGAUUAGAUACCCUGGUAGUCCACGCCCUAAACGAUGCGAACUGGAUGUUGGGUGCAACUUGGCACCCAGUAUCGAAGCUAACGCGUUAAGUUCGCCGCCUGGGGAGUACGGUCGCAAGACUGAAACUCAAAGGAAUUGACGG
RNAcentral lists this ribosomal RNA (587 nucleotides) under uncultured bacterium. RNAcentral's name for it is "bacterial SSU rRNA". It matches the Rfam family "Bacterial small subunit ribosomal RNA", at positions 338 to 916 of the family's 1533-position model. The record is from RNAcentral.